AGAGUUUGAUCCUGGCUCAGGACGAACGCUGGCGGCGUGCUUAACACAUGCAAGUCGAACGGAAAGCCCCCUUCGGGGGGACUCGAGUGGCGAACGGGUGAGUAACACGUGGGUGAUCUGCCCUGCACUUUGGGAUAAGCCUGGGAAACUGGGUCUAAUACCGGAUAGGACUACGAAUCGCAUGGUUUGUGGUGGAAAGCUUUUGCGGUGUGGGAUGGGCCCGCGGCCUAUCAGCUUGUUGGUGGGGUGAUGGCCUACCAAGGCGACGACGGGUAGCCGGCCUGAGAGGGUGUCCGGCCACACUGGGACUGAGAUACGGCCCAGACUCCUACGGGAGGCAGCAGUGGGGAAUAUUGCACAAUGGGCGCAAGCCUGAUGCAGCGACGCCGCGUGAGGGAUGACGGCCUUCGGGUUGUAAACCUCUUUCAGUAUCGACGAAGCGCAAGUGACGGUAGGUACAGAAGAAGCACCGGCCAACUACGUGCCAGCAGCCGCGGUA
Molecule: ribosomal RNA, 499 nt
Filed under: uncultured Actinomycetes bacterium
Lineage: Bacteria; Bacillati; Actinomycetota; Actinomycetes
Description: bacterial SSU rRNA
Rfam family: Bacterial small subunit ribosomal RNA
Source: RNAcentral